This 467-nucleotide ribosomal RNA is filed under the name uncultured bacterium. Its description in RNAcentral is "partial 16S ribosomal RNA". It matches the Rfam family "Bacterial small subunit ribosomal RNA", at positions 28 to 507 of the family's 1533-position model. The record is from RNAcentral.
GAUGAACGCUGGCGGCGUGCUUAACACAUGCAAGUCGAACGGAAAGGCCCAAGCUUGCUUGGGUACUCGAGUGGCGAAAGGGUGAGUAACAAGUGGGUGAUCUGCCCUGCACUUCGGGAUAAGCCUGGGAAACUGGGUCUAAUACCGGAUAGGACCACUUCUUGGAUGUUGUGGUGGAAAGUUUUUUCGGUGUGGGAUGAGCUCGCGGCCUAUCAGCUUGUUGGUGGGGUAAUGGCCUACCAAGGCGUCGACGGGUAGCCGGCCUGAGAGGGUGUACGGCCACAUUGGGACUGAGAUACGGCCCAGACUCCUACGGGAGGCAGCAGUGGGGAAUAUUGCACAAUGGGCGCAAGCCUGAUGCAGCGACGCCGCGUGGGGGAUGACGGCCUUCGGGUUGUAAACUCCUUUCGCUAGGGACGAAGCGUUUUGUGACGGUACCUGGAGAAGAAGCACCGGCUAACUACGUG